GCUCUGGUGGCUUAGCGGUAAAGCGCAUCACUAGUAAUGAUGAGAUCCCCGGUUCAAGUCCGGGUCGGAGCU
This is a non-coding RNA of Pyronema omphalodes CBS 100304, 72 nucleotides long. The record is from Rfam. Lineage: Eukaryota; Fungi; Ascomycota; Pezizomycetes; Pezizales; Pyronemataceae.